Molecule: long non-coding RNA, 4285 nt
Organism: Polistes canadensis
Lineage: Eukaryota; Metazoa; Arthropoda; Insecta; Hymenoptera; Vespidae
Exons: 2
Source: RefSeq, a predicted model, not a curated record
GUAUGUAUGAAUGCAUAUGUGUAUAUACUCAUAUUUAUAUAUAAAUAUAAUAUAUAAACGAUAAGUAGUAACACACGAAGCACCAAGAAAGGAGAACGAGGAAAGGUGACGGCGGGGGACGAAGGGGAGGAUAAUCGUACAUCGUGAAAGGGUGAACGAGGGGAGAGGGGAAUAGAACGUUUCCACACCGGAUAUCCUCCCGAGGGAAACGGUGCACGCGAUUCGCAUUGCCACGCCCGUAGUAGUAUAUAUGUUGUGUUUCUUUUACACAUCCUAGGUUAGACGAAUAACAGUAAAGGAUCCAGUUUACCGUCAUUUAUAAACUAUAGCGUGUUUUAAAGUUACAAAUUUGUAUUCACGAUCAACAAAAAACUUAGGAGGAAAAGAUUGAUCCAUUUAUAUUCUCGACGGAUGAAAGAAUAUCGUAAGUUAUGUUUUUAAGGUGAAAUCAAUAUCGAUCAUAAAGGAGAUAAGUUUCGAAACGUCAUCAUCAUCUUCUUUGUUUGUUAGUCUCGAUCAUUCGAGUGGUCACAAUAUAAGGCAGGUUCAUACAUUGGUAUCGAAUUCACUAAGAACUGAGAGAGAUAAAGAGAGAAAGUAAUUCAAUACUCUCUAUAAGGACCUUGAGUACCUUCCCAUGAAUGCGCAUACACGUAUAUACAUAGCAUGCUAAUGAUUAAGUAGAAUGUUGAAUUCCGUGAGUAUUCUUUUUUUUUCUCUCAGUCUCUCACCCCUACUGUUCGUUUUCAUCUUUCAAACAAAAUUGCAAUGAAGAUAGAAAGAAAAUAAGAUAUAGAAGACGAUAAUUCAAAGGUGGAAUAAAGAAAGAACGAACGGUUUACGUUCGCAGUCUGGCUUAGAACGGACGGCACGAAAGAUACGUGCGUGCACGGAACGAAAGACGGAGCCAAAUGGAACAGAGCGAAAGAGAGAAAGAAAGAGAGGAAAGGAAAGAACCUAAGAGUUGUAAAAUGAGAACGACGAGGACGUAAGAGGAUGUAGUCGACGGACGUUUACGAAGAGAACCGAGUAUCCCCGACAUGUGGGGAAAGCUUAGUCGGUGUAGAGAGAAGAAGAAGACACAAGGGAUUAUUUCUCUUCGCCAAUUAUUUUUCGACUUUUAACGUAUUGUGCAACACACAACGAAAUUAACAAUGUUAUUAUUAUAUUUCGAUUUUAUAUUAAUACAAAGCCAAAUAUUUGUAUUAUCUAUUUUUCUUGUAUUAAAAAAAAAAAAAUGUAUUUAACAAUAAGUAUAUAUAUGAAUAAAAAAAGAAGCGAGAAAAAUCGUGAAGAUUAGCGAAAAAAAAAACAAGAUAGAUCGGAUAUUAAAGGGUACCGAUGAGCUUUUGGGCCGGCCCUGGCAAGCACAAUACCGAGUAUGAAUGAAGUAUCGUGUCUGGCUGGGUAGAGGGGAAAGAGAGAGAAAAAAUUGUGCGGUGUUUCGCGGCGUUGUGAGGUUGUAUUGCGGGCGGUAAACUGGUGACGCUCGUUGAUGUUUGGUGCGCAUGCGCGCAAAAGUAUACGAACGUACUCCCCUCUCUCUCUCUUCCAUCCCCUCGCGUAUCGGCCGCAGAGGAGGCACCACCGCACGUUCGAGUUUCGCGGCAUACAGGGCACAGCAGGAAUGAACAACAGGAGAAUCCGCAAUGCAUUGCAAUGUUGAGCAGCAGUGUUGAGUGUAGCCGGCUGCAUCCAGAAAGAGAGAAAGAGAUAGGGAAGGAGAAUAGAGGGAAAGGAAAAGGAACGGAUAUAGUCAUUUUUACGCGCUGAAAGUCGCAUCGUUUGUGGAUAUAUCGAGUCCUCGAGUAUUAGUAGACCGCCAUGUUAUUUGGUAACAGGUCGAUCAUCGAAUCGAGAAAAGAUAAACUUUUUAGAUAAGGAAUUCAUUUUGAUCAACGUAACGCGAACGGAAUAGGAGAUGAAAAUAUAAUAUAGAGAAACGAUCAAUCAGGUAAAUGAAAAAUUGUUAGUAGGGUUCCGUUUGCUGCUUGAAGAGAGAAUAUAUACAUAACUACGUGCCUGGACCGCACGAGCUAUGGCAACAUGGCUGCCAACGAGAGAACUAGCUGAAUCUUUCUCGCUCGUUUCGUUGUCUCUUUCGCGCGUGGGAGACUAUGUUAUUUCUUUUUCUAUCACCGUAACUUGACGCAAGCCAGAUUGGCCUCUCUCUCUCUCUCUCUUAUUUCUUAUCUUUUAUUUUUCUUCGAUUCUUUCUCUCCCUCUUCAUCUUUUUUUUUCCUUUUGCCCUUUCGAGAAGCUCAUUCUUUCCCGAUCUUUCUCCCACUUGGUUGAUCUCUUUCUCUCUCUCUCUCUCUCAUUCUCUCAGCUACUGGUGUUAACGACGGAUAGACGUCUCUCGGCGGUCGUCCCGCGCGUGCCCUCACGUGAGCUCGUUCGGUCGCAUACACUUGCGUGUAUGCGUGUGUAUGCGUGCGUGCGUGCGUGCGUGUGGUCGGUCAAUAGAAAAAAGCAAAAACAUAGAAGUAGCACGGUGUUACCCUGCAACGAAGGCGCGAAACACAACGCCAAUCGGCCACGCACGUACACCCCGUAUCGCGUUCUACUCUAAAGGAGAAAAAGAAUAAGAUAGAAAGAGAGAGAGAGAGAGAGAAAGAUCUUUCUUUUCUCGCGGUGGUGUCGUCACGGCGCGAGCGCGAGCGCGCUUGUUACAUCUUGUUUGUGUUACUAUACUCAUGGUCGGCAGAGAGUCUUUCGUCAGAAGCGGAAGAUAACACGGCAAAGUAGAUUUCGGUGAUUCGAUAAGAAAUUGCGGAAAAGGAGAAAGGAAGAAAUAAAGAGAAAGAGAGAUAUAUAUAUAUAUAUAUAUAUAGAGAGAGAGAGAGAGAGAGAUCGGAGGGCGAACAGAGCGCGUGCGACGUACCUGGCUGCGCCGGUGGCAGUCUCGAUCUUGCGGUCGGACGAGCUCCGUCGUCCUCCUCGUUUUCGUUGUCGUCGUCGUCGAAUUGUUGCUGUUGUUGUUGUUGUUCUUGUUAAAACGCAGCGUCGUUCUUGCUUUGGCUUUUCCUUAUCAUCAUCAUCAUCAUCAUUGUUGUCGUCGUCGUCGUCGUCGUUGUAUCGUGUCGUCGUUGUUUUCUUCGUCAUCAUCAUCAUCAUCGCGACGAAAUUAAAAAUACGCGUGUAGAAAAGGGAAAAAAAAAAGAUAUAAAAAUAGAAAGAGAAGGAAGGAAGGAAGAAUGCGUGUCAGAGAGAACAGCGAGCAAUACUAUCUUCUGCUCGUUGACGAUCCACCAGCGAGAAGAUCGGCGACGGUGGUGGUAGAACCUCGUCGUUGCCGUACCUCGUUCGUAGAGGUACGAACCGCGUGACACGAAUGCGGGAGUGUGAAAGAAAAGAAGAAGAGAAGGGAAAAGGUAUAUCUAGCCGCAUGCGUGCAAAGAGGAUAGAACGGGCUGGUUAUUUCUGUGGAGAGUAUAGGGGAAACCGCCCGUAUAAAAUAAGCAGUGAAUGAAGGAGCCUGUUUACUGGCAGACGACCUACGCGAGAUUCGGUCGACUCUCUCUCUCUCUCUCUCUUUCUCUUUCUCUUUUUCUCUAUCCCUUCCCCUCUCUAUCUCUCUCUCUCUUCUUCUCGAUAAUAAUCCUCGUCUUCUUCAUCGUCGUCAUUGCGUCGUCGAUACAGACACUGCCGCUGCCGCUGCCGCCGCCGCCGUCGUCGUCGUCACGAAUACGCUGCUGUUUGGCAGAGCGAGAGAGAGAGUGCGCUGCGAGCGAGAGAGUACUGCUAGGGAGGGGUGAGCGAGGGACCGAGCGAGCGAAAGAGAAAGAGAGAGAGAGAGAGAGAGAUAGAGAGAGAAAAAGAAAGAAAGAAUCGUUGGCCGGAGUGAGAGCCGCGCGCGUGUCUUGGCUCAGUGCUCGAGGAGAAGCCGCAGAGCGUCGGUCGUUAUUGGAACGUAAGGCGCGUGUGUCGCUCGUAAGUUUGUUCGUUCGUUCGUUCGUUCGUUCCUUCUUCAAUCUCUACUAACGUUGUUAUUUCGUUGUCGUCUCGUGCUUCUACGUAUUACUGCUAAAGAAUAAUAAAAAAGGAAAGAGAUAGAGAUAAAUAGAGAGAAAGAAAAGGAACAUUUCUAUUCGUCGUUUAUAUGUUUGACGAUCCACGUUCGUUCGGUCUGCUUCUUCUUCUCUCUUUCUUUUUAACGUGUGCGCUGCGCGAUCUACACGACACGAUACGACCGUAUAUACAUUUUUCGAGAAACUUACAUAGUACCAACCAACCAACUAACGACGUGUGUGCGCGGCCGACAGGAUACCGAGAGUGAGAGAAA